AAGGAUCAUUAUUGAAUAAACUGAUGUGGCUGUUAGCUGGCUUUUCGAAGCAUGUGCUCGUCCGUCAUCUUUAUCUCUCCACCUGUGCACAUUUUGUAGUCUUGGAUAACUCUCGAGGCAACUCGGAUUUUAGAAUCGCCGUGCUGUACAAGUCGGCUUUCCUUUCAUUUCCAAGACUAUGUUUUUAUAUACACCAAAGUAUGUUCAAAGAAUGUCAUCAAUGGGAACUUGUUUCCUAUAAAAUUAUACAACUUUCAGCAACGGAUCUCUUGGCUCUCGCAUCGAUGAAGAACGCAGCGAAAUGCGAUAAGUAAUGUGAAUUGCAGAAUUCAGUGAAUCAUCGAAUCUUUGAACGCACCUUGCGCUCCUUGGUAUUCCGAGGAGCAUGCCUGUUUGAGUGUCAUUAAAUUCUCAACCUUCCAACUUUUAUUAGCUUGGUUAGGCUUGGAUGUGGGGGUUGCGGGCUUCAUUAACGAGGUCGGCUCUCCUUAAAUGCAUUAGCGGAACUUUUGUGGACCGUCUAUUGGUGUGAUAAUUAUCUACGCCGUGGAUGUGAAGCAGCUUUAUGAAGUUCAGCUUCUAACCGUCCAUUUAUUUGGACAAUUUUUGACAAUUUGACCUCAAAUCAGGUAGGACUACCCGCUGAACUUAAGCAUAUCAAUAAGCGGAGGAAAAGAAACUAACAAGGAUUCCCCUAGUAACUGCGAGUGAAGCGGGAAAAGCUCAAAUUUAAAAUCUGGCAGUCUUUGGCUGUCCGAGUUGUAAUCUAGAGAAGUAUUAUCCGCGCUGGACCG
RNAcentral lists this ribosomal RNA (794 nucleotides) under uncultured Laccaria. RNAcentral's name for it is "eukaryotic LSU rRNA". The stretch from base 250 to 403 matches the Rfam family "5.8S ribosomal RNA". Lineage: Eukaryota; Fungi; Basidiomycota; Agaricomycetes; Agaricales; Tricholomataceae. The record is from RNAcentral.